UCCUAGUCCCACCCCCGCUACCCCGUGUCCUGGGGACCGGGUCAAGAUGUGCGUAGGUGCUGGGAGGUAGACACCCCUCCUUCCUAGCCCCAGGCGUCACCCACGCCCAGGCCAGCACUGGAUCUUCCACUUACCUAACCUCCCCUCUCCCAAGUCCCAAGGCCACCCCCUGUGCCCCUCCUGAGAGCGGGUGACAAGCUGCUGAGACAGUGUCUGAUUCACCGACAGCUGAACCAGCUAUGCGUACUCGGAGGUUUGCACUAUAAGAAAUGCUAAAGAAAACUCUUCAAGAUGAAAGAAAAUGAAACCUGAUGGAGACUCAGAUCUUUGGGAAGGAAUGAAGAGCAUCAUAUAUGUUGUAGGUCCAUCUGGUUGUGCUAUGUGGGACGUCACCUCAGCAUGGCCUGAUGAGUGGAGUCAUGUCCUUGCCCAGGAUCCAAACCAGCGAAACCCUGGGCCGCCGAAGCAGAGCUUGCGAACUUAACCACUCGGCCACAGGGCCAGCCUUCUGGGUAGGCAUAAUUUUAAGAAUUCAGCUACUUUGUCAACCAGUGUCCCAUCAGGAAAGUAGAAACCAUGCUAAUUGUUUCAAUCAGGGGACUUACUUAAGGAAUGAUUACUAUUGUUGGAAGGGCUGAAGGAGCAAAAAGGAGAAGGUGAGAUAACCCUGGGUUAGUGUCUGCAGGCAGCCUACACCAACUCUAGGAUUGUAGGAGCAAACAGGAGGAGGUGGCGUGCCAGAGCCCUGGUCAUGCUCACUGCUGACAGUGAUAAUGACUACACUUGCUGUUGAAACCGCUGAUGCCGCUCCUAGAGUCACAGCAGGAUGCUGGAACCACAGUCACCCAGCACUGCAGCCCCUGGAACCACCAAAGGAUAUUCCACUGCUGCAGGAGACAUUGCCAGAAGCAGACAGGGAUACAAACGCCUUCUUCCUUCCUACCUUCCACUUGCCCUUCCCUCCCACCAGUGCCUCUCAUUGACUGAACUUAGUCAGAAACGAGAUGGCAAAGAAGUCUGGAAAAGUAGUUUGCAGUGUCCAGCUCCCUCUGAUACAGAACAGCAGGGCCAGCUUCAUGGACAUUCGACCUGUGCAGUCACACAGGACCCCAUCCUUAAAGAAGCCCCAUAUUGUCACUCUCUUGAAAUUCUGAAUACUUGAUUAAAGGGUCUUAUGUUUUUAUUUUGCACGGGCCCUGCAAAUUAUCUAGUUGGUCCUGGAGGGUGGAGCAUGGAAGGGCAAAAAUGGAGCUGAGAACACAGAGGAAAAUGCCAGGGCUGCUGUGUGUUGGCAAAUUGUUCUCCACAAAGUUUACACCAACUUGAUCUAUGUACUUGCAAUGUAUGGAGUGGCCUGGGAAACCACGAAUUAGUUAUGGUGCCAAUAGGAGAGCAUCACCUUGUGGUCAGUGAGUUCAAACUCCCGGGCUCUGCUACCGAUGGAGACAGUCUGUUGUCGACCUUGAGCGACUUUCACAUUCUCUCUGGAUGCCUGUUUCCUUGCUGAAGUCCUCCAGCUUAAGUGUGGAAGCCGGAAAGAGCCUCGAACAGAGCAAGGCUCAGUUUCAACCUGCUGUGUGAUUUGGCAAGCAACUGUUCAAGGUACCACUCAGGAAGAUGAGCAAAUCGAGGAAGUCCCUCUGGCCUAAAAAUUCUAUCAACUUGCCCAGGAAAUGAAGGCCUGAGAAUUGCACCAGGUGCUCGCUGGCCUCCUAGAUGCAUCUCAGACUCUGCAUGGGCCAGAAAUGAGCAUUCAAGGGACAGGGACAACAAAAGCUGUUUCCCUAUAAGGAAAAGAAAAGGUUCCCAGUGCCUGUGACUUCUCUCCCAGUUGUUCAGGCUGUCACAACAUUACAAAUAGUGUUCCCCAAUUUGCCAUAUGGCCUGAGAUUUCAUAAUGAGGGCUUUGGGUCUUUGGCCUUCAUAUACAUCACCAACAUGAGAAGCUGCCAAUGCUUGCAGUGGAUUCCUUUCUUUAUACGAAAACGUACCAAAAACUCGCUAGUGAAGCAGGAAGAGCACAACUUUGUGGGAGCGGAGCUGGGAAUCUGAAGUGUGAGCGCUGGAUUUGAGUCUCCUAAGCAUGGGUAGCUGAUGACCACAGGAAGGAUCCGUGAGAAAGGCCAGAGAGUGGAAACUGAAACUGACUGACAACAGACUGGAAAGAGAGAGUCUGAACAAUGACUCACCUGAAUGCAACCUGUUUGGUGUCUGUCUGAGAAUUCAAGAAAUAGAUAGUUUUCUCCUGCAUGUCCUUUAAGGAGCCGGGAUUAAGGGACUGUGGUUUCUGCAAGUCCGCUGUCCGUCUAGGGGUUGGCAUCUUCCAGGAGAGGCUAGAGCUUGUGAGUCUCAGCUCAGCCUGAGGACCCAUGGAGAAGAACGUAAUUCCAGCUCCAAAGGCCUCUCUUGCACAGAAGAAUUUUUAGCGUUGAGAGGAAGUCUAGGAGGGCAAGAUGGCAGCCGACAACUCCAGACACUUUCUACCCUGCUCAAGACCAAUGGGAAAGAGCUCUGUUCACCAGAUCACUCAGGGACUCAGGCUGAUGACACAACCCCUAACUCCAACAUUGUCAGACUCUACCGGACGACAGGAGCUUGCAGAAGAUCUUGCGUCAGGACUGAAAUGGUGCAGCCAGCAGUGACUUAUACUUGCAUUUCAUUGGCUAGAACUAGUCACGUGACCCCACCCAACUGGAAAUGGGCCAGGAAGUACCAUCUUAGCAUGUGCGCGGAGCCGGUACUCUGAAAUAUUUGGGAACAGUACUGAUGACUGGGGUGAUCAGAUGAUUUGGAAACUGUGAUGACCACAUGCAUGAGUCCCUCAGAAGAUUCAGCAUGGUCUAGUUCUCUGGCAAGGGAGAUCAGACCCCACUCUGAAGACCACUGUCCCACCGGCCUCACAUACUGGAAGUGUACACUCUAUGACUUCUUGCUUCUGAAUCUUGG
This 2946-nucleotide long non-coding RNA is filed under the name Equus caballus (horse). RNAcentral describes it as "lncRNA (ENSECAG00000060322.1)". The record is from RNAcentral. Lineage: Eukaryota; Metazoa; Chordata; Mammalia; Perissodactyla; Equidae.